RNAcentral lists this ribosomal RNA (253 nucleotides) under uncultured bacterium. Its description in RNAcentral is "partial 16S ribosomal RNA". It matches the Rfam family "Bacterial small subunit ribosomal RNA", at positions 524 to 776 of the family's 1533-position model. The record is from RNAcentral.
GACAGAGGGUGCAAACGUUGUUCGGAAUUACUGGGCGUAAAGCGCGUGUAGGCGGCUAUGCAAGUCGGGCGUGAAAUCCCACGGCUCAACCGUGGAAGUGCACUCGAAACUGCGUAGCUAGAGUCCCGGAGAGGAAGGUGGAAUACUUGGUGUAGAGGUGAAAUUCGUAGAUAUCAAGUGGAACACCGGUAGCGAAGGCGGCCUUCUGGACGGUGACUGACGCUGAGACGCGAAAGCUAGGGGAGCAAACGGG